RNAcentral lists this ribosomal RNA (418 nucleotides) under bacterium enrichment culture clone ALO1_GLFRUDD03GBN3D. RNAcentral's name for it is "bacterial SSU rRNA". It matches the Rfam family "Bacterial small subunit ribosomal RNA", at positions 10 to 431 of the family's 1533-position model. The record is from RNAcentral.
GAUUUGAUCCUGGCUCAGAUUGAACGCUGGCGGCAUGCCUUACACAUGCAAGUCGAACGGCAGCACGGGAGCUUGCUCCUGGUGGCGAGUGGCGAACGGGUGAGUAAUGCAUCGGAACGUAUCCUGGAGUGGGGGAUAACGUAGCGAAAGUUACGCUAAUACCGCAUAUUCUGUGAGCAGGAAAGCGGGGGACCUUCGGGCCUCGCGCUCUUGGAGCGGCCGAUGUCGGAUUAGCUAGUUGGUGAGGUAAAGGCUCACCAAGGCGACGAUCCGUAGCAGGUCUGAGAGGAUGAUCUGCCACACUGGAACUGAGACACGGUCCAGACUCCUACGGGAGGCAGCAGUGGGAAUUUUGGACAAUGGGGGCAACCCUGAUCCAGCCAUGCCGCGUGAGUGAAGAAGGCCUCGGUUGUAAGGU